This 468-nucleotide ribosomal RNA is filed under the name uncultured bacterium. RNAcentral's name for it is "partial 16S ribosomal RNA". It matches the Rfam family "Bacterial small subunit ribosomal RNA", at positions 28 to 507 of the family's 1533-position model. The record is from RNAcentral.
GACGAACGCUGGCGGCGUGCUUAACACAUGCAAGUCGAACGGAAAGGCCCUGCUUUUGUGGGGUGCCCGGGUGGCAAACGGGUGAGUAACACGUGAGUAUCCUGCCCUAGACUUUGGGAUAACUUCAGGAAACUGGGGCUAAUACCGGAUAGCAUCCCCUGCUGCAUGGAGGGCGUUGGAACUUCUCGGCUGUUGGGGAUGGACUCGCGGCUUAUCAGCUUGUUGGUGGGGUAGUGGCUUACCAAGGCUGUGAAGGGUAGGCGGCCUGAGAGGGUGACCGGCCACAUUGGGACUGAGAUACGGACCAGACGGCAACGGGGGGCAGAAGGGGGGAAUAUUGCACAAUGGGCGGGAGCCUGAGGCAGCAACGCCGCGGGCGGGAUGACGGCCUUCGGGGUGUAAACAGCUGUCGCCUGUGACGAAGCUUGAGUGACGGUAAUGGAUAAAGAAGCACCGGCUAACUACGUG